UCCUCCCAACGCCAUUUUUGUUCCUCCACCAUAAAAAUCAAGAUUUUCAUUUUCUUUUCCUUGUUUUCUUUUCUUUUCUUACUCCUUCCUUCUCCUAACUUCUUGGGCAUCAAACCUACAACUUCUAACCCCAAUUUUCAGCACAUCUAAAACCUAGGAGAGAGAAAGAAAAAUCUCUCUUCCUUUCCUUUAUUUUUUAUUUCUACUCCACUUUCAACUACACUUGAAUUUUUGGCUUCAAAUCUUCAUUUUUGAAGCUAAUAGGUAAAUAUUUUCAACAAUUGAAAUUUAUGAAUUUAUGGGUUAUAUUUUCAGAUUUUAUUUCUGAACUUCUUCAAAUUCUUUUUCUUGGAAAUAUUAGGUUUUUUGUUGAUCUUCAUGCUUCCAAG
Molecule: long non-coding RNA, 389 nt
Filed under: Theobroma cacao (cacao)
Lineage: Eukaryota; Viridiplantae; Streptophyta; Magnoliopsida; Malvales; Malvaceae
Description: long non-coding RNA (TCAC_LNC002527)
Source: RNAcentral